UACGUAGGGUGCAGGCGUUAAUCGGAAUUACUGGGCGUAAAGCGUGCGCAGGCGGUUUGCUAAGCCAGGUGUGAAAUCCCCGGGCUUAACCUGGGAACUGCGCUUGUUACUGGCAGGCUUGAGUGUGGCAGAGGGGGGUGGAAUUCCACGUGUAGCAGUGAAAUGCGUAGAGAUGUGGAGGAACACCGAUGGCGAAGGCAGCCCCCUGGGAUAACACUGACGCUCAUGCACGAAAGCGUGGGGAGCAAACAGG
Molecule: ribosomal RNA, 253 nt
Filed under: uncultured bacterium
Lineage: Bacteria
Description: partial 16S ribosomal RNA
Rfam family: Bacterial small subunit ribosomal RNA
Source: RNAcentral